Ciona intestinalis (vase tunicate) is the source of this 339-nucleotide non-coding RNA. NCBI's taxonomy places the organism in Eukaryota, Metazoa, Chordata, Ascidiacea, Phlebobranchia, Cionidae. The record is from RefSeq and is a predicted model, not a curated record.
CAUCGUCUUGUUUUAUUUAUUCGGAGUCAAAUCUUUAAAAGUUGGAGAUUAUGUUUACCCACUGUGGGCACAAUGUGUUGCACAUAUUAUGAGCCUUAGCUCGGUUAUAUUCAUUCCUGGUUAUGCUGUUUACAUCAAGUUUAAAAGUGGGAAGUCCUUCGCAGAGUUACGAAGGGUGGUGGAAUUUAAAGAUAAAAAGAAGAAAAUUUUCGACGACGAAGCUUGUAUUCCGUUAGAAAUGUCUUAAAAUGUUCAUAUAAUAUCACCAUGUUCUUUAUCUUCUAUAGUUGAUUAAUAAUAAGCCGGAAUCAUUUAAAUUCAAAAUAGAAUUCUGUUAUU